RNAcentral lists this ribosomal RNA (120 nucleotides) under uncultured bacterium. RNAcentral's name for it is "partial 16S ribosomal RNA". It matches the Rfam family "Bacterial small subunit ribosomal RNA", at positions 28 to 142 of the family's 1533-position model. The record is from RNAcentral.
GAUGAACGCUAGCGGCAGGCUUAAUACAUGCAAGUCGAGGGGCAGCGGGGUGUAGCAAUACACUGCCGGCGACCGGCAAACGGGUGCGGAACACGUACACAACCUUCCUUAAAGUGGGGG